Molecule: long non-coding RNA, 322 nt
Filed under: Rattus norvegicus (Norway rat)
Lineage: Eukaryota; Metazoa; Chordata; Mammalia; Rodentia; Muridae
Description: long non-coding RNA NONRATT010808
Source: RNAcentral
UUUCACCGUCGGCUUCCCCCUCCCCCUGCCUUUUCUUCUGUUUAUGAUAAGAAAAAGGGAGGAAUGUUGGUAUCAGGAGACAGCUUUCACCUCCAAAGCCAUCGGUGACGUCAUCCACAGACGACAGGGACCCACGCAUCUGUUGCCAUGGCAAUGGCCAUACAUUCCCAGGGUCCAUUCGGUUUACCUUCCACCUUUACCUUCAAGCGGUUAUGUCAGUUUAAAUAGAAGCAGACCCUUCCUGACCUUCAGCCCUUCUUCUCCCUUCUUCUUUUUCUCUCUUUCCCCCUUUGUCUCCCCAAUAAACCCCUCCCACAUGAAA